Molecule: long non-coding RNA, 3899 nt
Organism: Peromyscus californicus insignis
Lineage: Eukaryota; Metazoa; Chordata; Mammalia; Rodentia; Cricetidae
Exons: 4
Source: RefSeq, a predicted model, not a curated record
UGUAGGAGGGGUGAGGAGUGGUGGUAUACUGGGAAGUGAGCAGACAGCUUGCCCAGGGGCCAUGCAUGCUGUUUCUCCUCCUGGGGGUGGUUUUUCUCCCCUAAAGGAAUUCUUCCUGGCUAGUUAGGAAAUGAGGAGGGAGCAGAUCCAGAGCCUUUAGACACCUGUCUGUUUCCCCUACCCCAGGCCCAACAGACAGAUGUGAUGGAGAAGACUGAGAUAAAAAACAUGGCCUCCUUAGUGUUAGUAUUCCUAGCCAUUCCCUCAGCUACAUGACUGCACGUGCGCCGUCCAGUAGCCAGGCAAGAUGCUUAGUCAUCCUAGGGCCUUGUGUCCUAUGCAAUCUUCGUGCAGCGUGGUCACGUAAUCUAUGUGCAUGCGUGGUUUAGCUACAUAAACCCAUAUUCGCAUGUGCAGGGGGUGGAGACCUAUGUAAAUGGGUUCCACCUAUUCCUUCCCUUUCUUCCUGCAGGGUCAUUCCGUAGGCCUAUGCACACCCUUUCUAUUCCCUUCCCUUAAUAAACUCUUAUAGUGGGUUGUGUUGUGCCUCGUGGCUUCUCUGGUAUGGUAAACAUUGCUGCUUAAUAAAUAACACUUAGUGACUGACUCACUCCUUCUAGAUUUCCAGAGAAAUCCACACACAAAACAAAUUUACCUAAAGCCACCUCCCUUACUCUGCAUGCAUUCUGGGCCCUGUUGCUAGGAAAGUUCCUGAUUUCCCAGUGGAGAGAGUGGGUGUGCUUUGUGGCGUGCAUGGGAAUGCCUGUAACUUUCCGACAGCUACAAGCCUAAACAGGAGUGACACUCAGAACCAGGGCUGGCAGCACAGCUUCUGGUCUGAUGAAUCAGGGUCACCCAGAGGCACUCAGAACUAAACCCAUUGUGACAAGACCCAGAGUUCCUGAGUGCCGGGUACAUGACAGGACUUUGGACAUAUUGCAGUCCAAUGCCCGUUGCCCCAGACACAGAUCGUGACCUUCGUCUUACUGAUGAGGAGGUCAAGGUCAGCAAGGUUAAACCACUUGCUUCCUUUUCCCAAGAUCAACAGCUAUAGAGACAGAGUUGGAGUUGGAACCAAAACAAAGCCAGGCCCUCUCUCCCUGGUACAGUGAUGCCUGCCUCUGGGCCUGAGCCACAGGAGACAGAGUGGCACGGGCCCAGGCAGCUCCUUGAAGAUCCUCCUCGGGCACAGAAGGCCAUGGUCACUGCAAUCUGCACCUGCCUUCUCUUCUGCUUCUGCCAAGUGCAGCCUCAUGUGACCACUCAGGACCUGGCACAUAGACGCUCUUAACAAAGGAGAAUGGGAUUCAAGUACCAUUAGGUCAUGACAUGAAUGUCUUCACCCUGGUUCUGGACAAAGGUCCUGCAAGUCCCUUGGGGAACACUCACUGAAUCCAAGGAUGACUGCCGCAUGUGCUCAGUUUCAGUCCUGCAGGGUAAGGGGGACAAAGGAUGUGAACAGGUUUCCAGAUCCCGAAGGAGUAGCCAUUAGUGAGCAACACUGCCCUUCUGCCCCCUCCUUAGUCCCAGGUCUUCACAAUCGCUUCUGUUCUCAACUGGCAAUGUAAUCAGGAGGAAGGAGAGACACUCACACUGUCACAGUGUCCUCUCGGACAGAUCGUGACCCCAUCACAUGCUUUGACUCCCAAGCUGCCGAUCUGAGCCAAUAGCGGUGACCCCCUACUUCCCCGGGGAGGGUGAGAGGGGAGUGGGGGUGGGGCAGAAAGGAGCCCUGGGCCCUGGGGAAGAGUGUUCCAUGAACAUGAGACCGUGCAAACCAAUCAACACCAUUCCCCUGCCAAACUGGAAAGCACCAACAUUCCAGUUUCUUCCCCUAAAGCUUUACACACCCGCCUGCAUUUCCCGGGUGCUCUGGGAGAGAAGGGUUUUUAGAAAAUAAUGGAUUUUCUCUUUUGGAGUUAAAAAUCAAUCUAGACAUUAAUUUCUACUUAUUGUUUUUGGAUUGGCAUGUGCCAGUCCAAAGGUGAUAGCCACCACGAAGCUGGAGGAAACCCUGCCUCGCCCUCUCCACCUCCUAGAGAGCCGAGUAUUUGUUUUCCUUUCUCUUAAUCUAAACUAGUCUCUCCCGCAAAGCCCUUUCUAAACAGCUAUUGAUUCCCCCAGCUUGAAUGGCCCAUUAAUAAUGCCGAGUUCUCAGGAGUCCCUUUAAUGCCUCCACUUUGUUUGGGUUGGACUUGCUCCCUGGGGUCCUCUGGGGGAGCCUGCCUUCCUCAAAGGCCAAACUGGUUCUCAGGGUGAUUGGAAUCACAGCCGCACCCCAGUCUGGGUCAAUGUGGGCAAAUGAGCUUGCUGGAAGCUGGCUUGUCCGUGUUGACGUUUGCUCCCAGCAUCUCCCCACAGCCAGUCUGAUUGGUCCCCUGCUCUGCCCUCGGUACACCAGGGGCAGACACCUGCCAAAGGACGACCUGGUGACAAAGAGGAGAGCAGUUAAUGAGACCCGGGGAUGCCUGCACACUCUUUGGGCAGCUCCAGAUGCUCUCUGACGUCUUUCAAGGCCUCUUGUUCCAGCCCCAGAUUUCACUGUGGAGAUGCCUUCCGCAGAGGUUCCUACAAACUGGCCCCUGGUGUAAUGGGACAGAUGCACCAUCUGCCACCAGUCACUGGUUCUCUGAUGAUCCCAACGACACCCCUGCAGCCUGGAAAGCAGGUACCUGUGAGCCUGUAUCUUAUGCUUGAGCUUGGCUCUCUGGGGAGCCCAGGGUAGACCAUCCAUUGUGAGGCUCUCAGUCAUUUGAAAGGGCAGUCUUGAAGGAGAGGCUAUCGCCAGGCAUGGUGGCAAUGUGUCCCCAAUCCUAGCACCGGGGAGGCUGCGGCAGGAAGAUGACCAUGAGCUAUAAGAGCCAGCCUGCCAACAGCAUCCUACUGAAUAUCACAGGAUAUCUGAAUUCCACUCCUCUUCUUCCACCAGCAUCUAUUUGAACAACCCAGACCAUUCCAAGGAUGCAGCGUCUGGAUUGUGAAUAUGCACCAGCUGCCAUGCCUGCAUGGCGUGGGUUGCCUGCCAGCCCGCCACUACACCUGCCCAGCAUGCAUGCAUGUUUCCCUGCAUGCACGGGAUACCCUUGAGGGUCCCCCACACGAUCUAUCACAACACCAGGUAGGUCUGUCUACAACCAUCCCGGUUCUGUGACCAUUUCCCUCAUGUCCCAGGCCCCUUCACAAUCUGAAGAGCCAGCCCUUCCCCUCCCGCCACUGUGAGCUGUUUUCCUAGGAAAAACUAAAGCUGGCUAUUUUAGGGCUUCCAGUGCUGCGAUGAAACACCGUGACCAAAAAGCAAGUUGGGGAGGAAAGGGUUUAUUUGGUUUAUACUAGCCUAUCACCACUGUUCAUCACUGAAGAAGUCAGUUCAGGAACUCAAACAGGGCAGGAACCUGGAGGCAGGAGCUGAUGCAGAGGCCACGGAGGGGCGCUGCUCACUGGCUUGCUCCCCAUGGCUUGCUCAACCUGCUUUCUUAUAGAACCCAGGACCUCCAGCCCAGGGAUGGCCCCGCCCACCAUGGGCUGGGCCCUCCCCCAUUGAUCACUAAUUGAGAAAAUGCCCUACAGCUGGAGCUCAUGGAGGCCUUUCCUCAGCUGAGGCCCCUUCCUCUCUGAUGACUCUAGCUUGUGUCGAGUUGGCACACACACAACCAGCCAGUGCACUACUUAACCAGAACCUGCCAGUUUCUGCUCUCUUCAUUCAUGUCGGUUGUCAUUGCCUCCGCAGACUAUGUGGGUUCUGUGUGGGCAGGCCCUGUCUCGUCUGUGUUGCUCAGGGCUCUUGAAUUGAAGUGUCUGAGAACUAGGUGGCCCCAGACAAGAGACAGUUACUCUCUCACGGUUUUUGAGGCUUGAGGUCAGAAAUCAGAGUGGCUGUAGAGCCUCGCUGUCGUCCCUGA